GACGAACGCUUGCGGCGUGCUUAACACAUGCAAGUCGAACGGAAAGGCCCUGCUUUUGUGGGGUGCUCGAGUGGCGAACGGGUGAGUAACACGUGAGUAACCUGCCCUUGACUUUGGGAUAACUUCAGGAAACUGGGGCUAAUACCGGAUAGGAGCUCCUGCUGCAUGGUGGGGGUUGGAAAGUUUCGGCGGUUGGGGAUGGACUCGCGGCUUAUCAGCUUGUUGGUGGGGUAGUGGCUUACCAAGGCUUUGACGGGUAGCCGGCCUGAGAGGGUGACCGGCCACAUUGGGACUGAGAUACGGCCCAGACUCCUACGGGAGGCAGCAGUGGGGAAUAUUGCACAAUGGGCGGAAGCCUGAUGCAGCAACGCCGCGUGCGGGAUGACGGCCUUCGGGUUGUAAACCGCUUUCGCCUGUGACGAAGCGUGAGUGACGGUAAUGGGUAAAGAAGCACCGGCUAACUACGUGCCAGCAGCCGCGGUGAUACGUAGGGUGCGAGCGUUGUCCGGAUUUAUUGGGCGUAAAGGGCUCGUAGGUGGUUGAUCGCGUCGGAAGUGUAAUCUUGGGGCUUAACCCUGAGCGUGCUUUCGAUACGGGUUGACUUGAGGAAGGUAGGGGAGAAUGGAAUUCCUGGUGGAGCGGUGGAAUGCGCAGAUAUCAGGAGGAACACCAGUGGCGAAGGCGGUUCUCUGGGCCUUUCCUGACGCUGAGGAGCGGAAGCGUGGGGAGCGAACAGGCUUAGAUACCCUGGUAGUCCACGCUGUAAACGGUGGGUACUAGGUGUGGGGUCCAUUCCACGGGUUCCGUGCCGUAGCUAACGCUUUAAGUACCCCGCCUGGGGAGUACGGCCGCAAGGCUAAAACUCAAAGGAAUUGACGGGGCCCCGCACAAGCGGCGGAGCAUGCGGAUUAAUUCGAUGCAACGCGUAGAACCUUACCUGGGUUUGACAUGGAUCGGGAGUGCUCAGAGAUGGGUGUGCCUCCUUUGGGGUCGGUUCACAGGUGGUGCAUGGCUGUCGUCAGCUCGUGUCGUGAGAUGUUGGGUUAAGUCCCGCAACGAGCGCAACCCUUGUUCACUGUUGCCAGCACGUUAUGGUGGGGACUCAGUGGAGACCGCCGGGGUCAACUCGGAGGAAGGUGGGGAUGACGUCAAGUCAUCAUGCCCCUUAUGUCCAGGGCUUCACGCAUGCUACAAUGGCUGGUACAGAGAGUGGCGAGCCUGUGAGGGUGAGCGAAUCUCGGAAAGCCGGUCUCAGUUCGGAUUGGGGUCUGCAACUCGACCUCAUGAAGUCGGAGUCGCUAGUAAUCGCAGAUCAGCAACGCUGCGGUGAAUACGUUCCCGGG
Molecule: ribosomal RNA, 1343 nt
Filed under: uncultured bacterium
Lineage: Bacteria
Description: 16S ribosomal RNA
Rfam family: Bacterial small subunit ribosomal RNA
Source: RNAcentral